Molecule: ribosomal RNA, 253 nt
Filed under: uncultured bacterium
Lineage: Bacteria
Description: partial 16S ribosomal RNA
Rfam family: Bacterial small subunit ribosomal RNA
Source: RNAcentral
UACGUAGGGUGCAAGCGUUAAUCGGAAUUACUGGGCGUAAAGCGUGCGCAGGCGGUUAUGUAAGUCAGAUGUGAAAUGCCCGGGCUUAACCUGGGAACUGCAUUUGUGACUGCAUGGCUAGAGUUUGGCAGAGGGGGGUAGAAUUCCACGUGUAGCAGUGAAAUGCGUAGAUAUGUGGAGGAACACCGAUGGCGAAGGCAGCCCCCUGGGUCAAGACUGACGCUGAGACGCGAAAGCGUGGGGAGCAAACAGG